Molecule: ribosomal RNA, 484 nt
Filed under: uncultured bacterium
Lineage: Bacteria
Description: partial 16S ribosomal RNA
Rfam family: Bacterial small subunit ribosomal RNA
Source: RNAcentral
AUUGAACGCUGGCGGCAGGCCUAACACAUGCAAGUCGAGCGGAUGAAGGGAGCUUGCUCCUGGAUUCAGCGGCGGACGGGUGAGUAAUGCCUAGGAAUCUGCCUGGUAGUGGGGGAUAACGUCCGGAAACGGGCGCUAAUACCGCAUACGUCCUGAGGGAGAAAGUGGGGGAUCUUCGGACCUCACGCUAUCAGAUGAGCCUAGGUCGGAUUAGCUAGUUGGUGGGUUAAAGGCCUACCAAGGCGACGAUCGGUAACUGGACUGGGAGGAUGAUCAGUCACACGGGAGCUGGGACACGGACCAGGCUCCUGCGAGAGGCAGCAGUGUGGAAUAUUGGACAACAGGGGAAAGUCUUAUCCAGCGAGGCCGCGCGUGUUAAGAAGGUCCUCGGAUUGUGAAGCACGUUAAGUGGGGAGAAAGGGCAGUAAGUUAAGACCAUGCUGUUGUGACGUUACCAGCAGAAGAAGCACCGGCUAACUACGUG